UGCUACGGCUCCGAACGAACCUUCGAUUUUCUUAAGCUCCAAACUCAAGAACACAUCUUAUUAUGAUUAGAAUCUUCCACAAAAAGGUGAAAAUCCCUAAAUUCCCAGAAAAUCCCACCUUAAAUUCUCCAAAAAAAAUCGAUUCAGCUUCGUAUAAACCCUAAGAGGACGAAUUUUACGCGCGAUUCUCGGUGACAACUGAAGGUUUAUUCUUCUUUUGGCGUUACGAAAUUUGAGCCUCGCUUUCAUGUGCUUGGUACUGCUCUCUUGUCAUGCACAACUGUGUUAACAGGGUUUGUAACGUGGAGACUGUUUAUAAACUGAUGCAAUGGCAUCAUCUGGUAAAUUUGAUCUGUCAUCAGAUAGCCCAGAUAGACCGUUAUACACUACUGGGCAGCGUGCUUCUUAUAUAACUGGUUCAAUGGAUAGAUCAGCCAGUUUUAGUGAGAAUAUGGAAAAUCCCAUUUUAUCAUCUCUUCCAAGCAUGUCAAGGAGCACUUCAACCGUAACACAAGGGGACGUGACUAAUUUUUUACAAUGCUUGAGGUUUGAUCCCAAGUCAAUGGCUGCUGAAUAUAAGUUCAACCGCCAUGGGGAUUUUAAGCGGCUUGCAAGUGGUGCACUAGGUAUACCGGAUGAUUCACCAUCUGGUGCUUUCAAAGGCAAACCGACUUCUUCAUCUAGUGAAGAUCUUAAACGACUAAGGGCUGGUCUGCGUGAAUCCACCAUCAAGGCCAGGGAGCGAGUGAAGAUCUUCAGUGAGAGCUUGUCGGUUGUCAACAAGUGUUUUCCAAGUAUUCCUUCGAGGAAGAGAUCACGUCCAGAUUCUUUGUCUGGUGAUCCUGCUAAUGGCUUACUCGCUGAUCGUGCAGUUAUGGGGGGUGGUGUUGGUAAGAUAGGUACCCAGAAUCAUGUUCCCACUAGCGUUUUCGACUUUGAGCCUCAGAAAGUUGAAGAAAGAGGGAAAAAUACCGUUCCUAACAAACGAACCAGAACUUCUAUGAUGGAUCAAAGGGCGGAUGCACGUCCUAACACUCCUGCUAGAUCAACUGCAAGUGUAGACAAGGAUAAAGAAGUGUUAAGACCUUCCUCUAGCAAUGGUCUUCAGGGCGAGGGUCGUGCAUUGCCCAUUGUAUCUGAUGGUUGGGAAAAGGCUAAAAUGAAGAAAAAGCGUUCUGUAAUAAAGGCAGAUGCUGCUUCAAGUCCAAGCCCAGUGUCAACAAAACUGAUUGACGGAUACAGAGAACCGAAGCAAGGAAUACAUUCGAGGCACCUUACAGAUGGAAGGUCAAGGUUAACCGAUUCCUACGGAUUCAGGCCUGGAGCUGCUAAUGGGGUCAUUGGAGCAGGAAAAGCUGAUGGAAUCUCCCAACAAGCUAGUAUGGGUGGACGUUCAUCCAUCCCGAAGCCCGAGCAGGAGAGCGUGUCCCUCCAUGAUAAAAGAGAGAGAAUCAAUAGUUCAGAUAAAGAAAGGACAAAUAACCGAGCUGUUAAUAAGGCCGUUGUCCGAGAAGAAUUCAUUUCUGGUAGUCCCACCAGCUCAAGACUUCAUGGAACUGCUCGAGGGCCAAGAUCAGGAACAGGUGUUGGGCCUAAAUUUUCCCCGGUGGUACAACGGGCAACUGCUUCUAAUGAUUGGGACUUACCUCAUGGUACAAGUAAGAGCCCUGGAGCUGUUGGUUCCACCAAUCGUAAACGUACGCUAUCCGCACGUUCUUCAUCUCCACCAGUAACACAGUGGGCUGAUCGGAGGCCCCAGAAAAUAUCACGUACCGCAAGGAGAACCAAUCUUGUCCCAAUUGUAUCUAGUAAUGACGAAAUUCCCGCUCUGGAUCCCAGUGAUGUUACUGGUAGUGAAAAUGGGCCCGGGUUUGCUAGACGGUUUCAGAACUCUCCUCGGCUGGCCAAAUCAAAAGGUGAUCAUCUUCCGUCAUCUGCACUAUCAGAAAGCGAGGAGUCGGGUGUUGCUGAAUUUAGAUUUAGGGACAAGGGCAAGAAAUUUGAUGAAGUGGAAGAUAAAAGUGGACAAAAUGUUCAAAAGAUGUCAACUCCAUUCCUCCCAACGAGAAAAAACAAGCAGGCGAAUGGGGAAGAUCAUGUCGAUGGAGUCCGUAGACAAGGCAGAACUGGGCGUGGUUUUGGUCCUGCACGGGUUGUUAACCAAACGACGGUUGAAAAGCGUGGCAACAUGGGAACUGCAAAACAACUUAGAACUGCCAGACUUUCUUUCGACAAGUCUGAAAGUAAAUCAGGUAGACCACCCACUAGGAAACUUGCAGACCGCAAAGCAUAUACACGCCAAAAACACACUGCAGUUAAUGCUGCUGCAGAUUCUCUUGUUGGCUCAGUUGACGGACACGAAGAGCUUUUGGCAGCAGAGAGUGCAGUUAUUAAUUCUAGUCAUGCAUUAUCCAGCCCAUUCUGGAGGCAAAUGGAACCAUUUUUUGCUUUUUUAUCCGAUAUGGACAUAUCCUUUUUGAAGCAACAGGGAAGUAUUCAAUCCAUUGUCACUACCACAAAUCCAGUAUCUUUAGACGUUGAUAGUUCCAAUACGUUUUCUAACGGGCCCAAAGUGGUUGAACCUGCAAAGAACGGAACAAACAGAAAUCUUGAAGUAAACCCUGAACUGUUACUGCCAGAAACAUCAAAUCCCGGGGGAACUCCCCUCUGUCAAAGACUUCUUGCUGCUCUAAUUACAGAAGAAGACGAUGACCCAACCUGCAGUGGAAACGAUGACCUCAAAUUUAAUGUCUAUGGAUCCACAUUCGAGCUUGGAACAGAUGCAGAAUCAGAAGUUUUCAGUCAGCCGUCAUUGCAGAACUUGGAGCUUAAUGGGCAUGAUGCUUUUGGUGUUUAUGGGAAAAUUUCCUCACCAAGAUCCUAUAACCAUAGAAUGUCGAUGCCCGUUUCAGAAAUUGCUAAAGGUCUUGAUCACUCCUACAGUGGUCUACUUUCAGAUCCAGAGAUGACAUCUGGCACAACCUGUUCAGAAUAUCAUUAUGGCAACAUGUCCAUGAACGAAAAGCUACUUCUUGAAAUUCAGAGCAUUGGACUCUACCCGGAACUAGUGCCUGAUUUAGCACACACUGGGGAUGAGGACAUCGGUGAGGAUAUCAGUGACCUGGAAAGAAAGCACCAUGAACAGGUUUUAAGGAAGAAAAGCCUGCUCGACAAAUUGUUAAAGUCUGCUACAGAAGCAAGGGAGCUUCAAGAAAAGGAAUUUCAGCAGCAUUCUCUUGACAAACUCAUCGGAAUGGCUUAUCAGAAGUACAUGAGUUGUUGGGGCCCUAAUGCGCCUGUAGGAAAGAGUGCUAGUAGCAAACUUGCCAAGCAAACUGCUUUAGCUUUUGUCAAACGGACAUUAGAGCGAUGUCAGGAAUUUGAAACAACAGGCAAAAGCUGCUUCACUGAGCCAUUAUUUAGGGAAAUGUUCAUCUCCGGAUCAUCACACCUCAACGAUGAACAAUUAGUUGCUGUGAAUGAUGUUGGAUCUGGUCAAAUCUAUGGAAAUUCCAUGGAAAGAGUUUCAGGUACACAACCGAGUCCUUCAUUAAGCAAUCAUGACAUAUAUUUGUCUGUAAACCACUCAUCCGAGCAAACUAUUGGCAAAGAUGAGAUAUGGUCAAGCAGGGUCAAGAAGAAGGAGUUGUAUCUUGAUGAUGUUGUUGCUGGUACUUCUGCAGGAACACCGACUAGCACCGGAACAGCGAGUCUGAAUGGUGCAAAAGGAAAAAGGAGCGAUAGAGACAGAGAAUGGAAGGGUAACGGUUCAUUUAAAGUUGGGCGGCCUGCAUCCAGCAGUGCCAAGGGUGAAAGAAAGGCGAAAACAAAGCUUAAACAGAAAACAACUCAGUUAUCUGCUUCUGUCAAUGGUCCAUUGGGCAAGAUUUCAGAUCAGCAUAAACCAACAGUGUCUUCAGUACCAAAGUCGGUUGAAAUAAAAACCAAGGAAAACGACAAAUACGAGUCGUUGGAAGAUUCUGAGGAGCCACUUGAUUUUUCGCACCUGCAACUUCCUGAAAUGGAUGCUCUUGGUGUUGGAGAUGAUUUUGGAGAGCAAGGGCAGGAUAUAGGUUCGUGGUUGAAUAUCGAUGAGGAAGUAUUACAGGAUGAUGACUUUAUGGGUCUCGAGAUUCCAAUGGAUGAUCUAUCGGAGCUAAAUAUGAUGGUUUAAAGUCGGUUUUCAUGUAUAGACAUGUUCAGUAUACUACCUACAGAUGAGAAUGUGACGUUCAAGUGAUUUUCCAUUCGGUAAUUAGGCUACAGAUUCUUUUUUAGAACCCCUGAAGAAGUUAAUAUUUGAGAGAACCCUUUGGAUGUUUUUUCCGGAUUUUGCUGCUAUUUUAAGAUAGUGACUUUUAGACUGUAAAAAUCUUUUUGUCUUUACCUACGAGCUAGUUUGCUCCUCUCACCAUAUCUUAGGAAAUACUGUAUUCUGGUUGUAGCAUUUACAAAUUGGGGCACAACGACCCUUGUACAUACAACUUAUGUUUUUCAAUAAGAUAGGUUCAUUUAUAAGAUAAACAAGUCCAUAAUCAUAUAAAGAACACAUAUUUUGUGUUGGUUCUAUCUUUUUCUUCAUAUACAUAUUCUAACAGCCUCUUCAAGUUCUUUUGUCCAUAUACAGUUGCAAAUGUGGUAAAGAACUGGCUUCUGUGGCUGCAUUUUGAUGAAUAGUAUAUGAAGACAGGCCCUAUAUGCUGCUGUACAUGUUCGGAUGGGAGAACCAUGGUGCCUUGUGCAAGUCUGGAUGCUUCACUCCCAGGACCUUUCAGAGAGAGAAGUGGAGUGCUUCAACUUGAUUCUUUUGGACAGUCUAAAAGGAUAUGAAGUUGCAUAGCCCCUUUACAUCUUUGAGCUCGUAUUGCAAAGGUAUGUGCUUCAUGCUCACCAUUUGUUUUGUUAAACAUAGGAAAUAAACCCCCUCGCCAUAAUCGUUCAAGUGUUACAAAUCAAUAUUUGCAUCAUGGUAUCGUUGUUAAACUAUGUGUGUGUGUGUGUUAUUGUGUGGUGGGUGAGAGUGAUGGCACUAUAAAAACCCUAUGCCAUUAAGUUUUGAUGGCACUAUAUUCUCCAAUUUGUCAAUGCUUUGUUGGUAAACCCAACUUUUGAUGUCUGUUUUACACUUAUUCUUUGCACAAACCUGCUGAAAAACAUUUCGGUGAAGUCAACUUUUUAUACACUUAUUGUAUCAGUAAAACAUGUCAUUGAAGUCAAAUUUCGUUUCUUUUUCUUUCAACAAAAAAUAUUGAAACCAUCAUCUUUUACUUGCUCUCUAGAGAAUGGAGGUGAGACUUGAAUUCUUGGCCUUGCAUCACUUCUGACCCGAUUCUAAUACACUAUAAUGGGUAGUAAAAGGUAGGGAAAUUGUCCAA
This is an RNA transcript of Cynara cardunculus var. scolymus (artichoke), 5375 nucleotides long. RefSeq lists it as uncharacterized. NCBI's taxonomy places the organism in Eukaryota, Viridiplantae, Streptophyta, Magnoliopsida, Asterales, Asteraceae. The record is from RefSeq and is a predicted model, not a curated record. The transcript has 17 exons.